CAGUCGCCGCGGGAAUACGAAGGGGGCUAGCGUUGUUCGGAAUUACUGGGCGUAAAGGGCGCGUAGGCGGCCAUUCAAGUUAGAUGUGAAAGCCCUGGGCUCAACCUAGGAAUUGCAUUUGAUACUGUUUGGCUUGAGUUCGGGAGAGGUGAGUGGAAUUCCCAGUGUAGAGGUGAAAUUCGUAGAUAUUGGGAAGGACACCAGUGGCGAAGGCGGCUCACUGGACCGAUACUGACGCUGAGGCACGAAAGCGUGGGGAGCAAACAGGAUUAGAUACCCCAGUAGUCCCUGUCUCUUAUAC
RNAcentral lists this ribosomal RNA (301 nucleotides) under uncultured bacterium. RNAcentral describes it as "partial 16S ribosomal RNA". It matches the Rfam family "Bacterial small subunit ribosomal RNA", at positions 509 to 807 of the family's 1533-position model. The record is from RNAcentral.